AACGAACGCUGGCGGCAUGCCUAACACAUGCAAGCCGAACGAGACCUUCGGGUCUAGUGGCGCACGGGUGCGUAACGCGUGGGAACCUGCCCUUAGGUUCGGAAUAACUCCCCGAAAGGGGUGCUAAUACCGGAUAAUGUCUUCGGACCAAAGAUUUAUCGCCUUUGGAUGGGCCCGCGUUGGAUUAGCUAGUUGGUAGGGUAAAAGCCUACCAAGGCGACGAUCCAUAGCUGGUCUGAGAGGAUGAUCAGCCACGCUGGGACUGAGACACGGACCAGACUCCUACGGGAGGGAGCAGUGGGGAAUACUGGACAAUGAGCGAAAGCCUGAUCCAGCAAUGCCGCGUGAGUGAUGAAGGCCUUAGGGUUGUAAAGCUCUUUUACCCGGGAUGAUAAUGACGGUAACGGGAGAAUAAGCACCGGCUAACUCCGUG
This 433-nucleotide ribosomal RNA is filed under the name uncultured bacterium. Its description in RNAcentral is "partial 16S ribosomal RNA". It matches the Rfam family "Bacterial small subunit ribosomal RNA", at positions 29 to 507 of the family's 1533-position model. The record is from RNAcentral.